CUGAACCAGCCAUACCACUAGUUAAUCUUACUAUUUAUUGUACAUAUUUAAAAUAUCUGUCCAAAUGUCCAAUUAUUACAAGUUAAAUCUGUCCAAACGUUCACUUAUUAUAAAUAAAUCAGUCCAAAUGUCUAGUUAUUACGAGGUAACUAUCUCUAACAUGAAAUAUAUUAAAGCUAAAAGAAAAGGAAUACAGGGUGGGGGUUCGAGGAGAACAUAAUGCAUAUAAAUCUUCAGAUCUUGGAAUAUAUUCAACUCAAGCUCCAUACAUCAAUGAAUAUCGAAGUGUACCUGGAAUUCAGCAAGAAACAAAGCCUAUGAGUAAAUGAAAGCACUCAGCAAGCAAGCAGCAGCCAAUUGAGCAGUGAGCACCCAUAUUUUACGAAGGUUUUGAGAAAAUUCAAUAGGAAUGGGAUAACAUUCAAAAUUUUGAAGAAUGUAGAGAAAGCUAAUAUGUGUAUCUUUUUUUUUUGUAUUUUAAUUCACUACAAGGAUUUUAAAGGAAAAAUCCUCUCUAUAUGUUCAGAUUACCCCCUUUUAUAGUGAAGCCUUAGGGCAACACUUUUUCCUUAUUUUUCCUUUUAGUCCCUUAUUCAAAUUUCAGUUUUUCCUGAACAGUCCUUAAUUUUCUGACUUGUGCCUCAAAUUUGAGGCUGAAAUUAUGCCUAAGUCCCUCACUAGAAUGUUCUAAGGGUUGUUACCAGAUUUUGUUAGGCUCAAAUACCCCCUUAUACCCCUAUUUCUUUUCCUAAUUAACUAACAUGAAGUUUUUAACCAUGGUCGGUCAUUUGGUUUGGUCAAAAUUGACCCAGGUCAAUUGUGUUUAAGUUUUGGACCAAAUUUGGUCUGGACUAACAGGCUUAAUAAAAAGUAUAAGAAUUAGCCAAUACUAUUCAAGUUUUAAACAAGUAUCUUAAUGUUGAUUUUUCAACAACCAAACAUCAUUCAGGAUGAACAUUCAAUGUCAAAAACCAAUGAAUUAAAAUGACUAGAAAAGGGAAACCAUCCACUAAUGCUUAACUUACAGAAAUAACCCAAUUAAGGUACUCAGUAAAACUAGAUAGUGAGAAACGAAUAACAGGAAUUGAAAACUCAGUUCAUAGUAAAAUCCGGAAACUAAAGGCUAAUAUCAGCAAUUAAAGGUUCAGUAAAAAUAAAUUAGCCUAAUACAUGCAAAUACUGAAGAUCAAAAUUACUUAUGAAAUGAAAAACAACUACGCAACAUAAGUAAGGUACGAAACUAAUCAGGAUCUCAGGGUGAAGCAAAUGAAAAACAGGGUACAAGGAUCAAUAUCCAUAACAAAUCAGUAGGCAGAAAGAUCAUGCAAAAUUUCAAAGCCAAAAGGCAAAGAUCAAUUAGUCAUGUGCAACACAACUCAGAAGAUUAUAGAAGGAAUUAAUCCACAAAUGAUAUCCAGAGAAGGUAUAGAACAUAACGAACAUAUGUAAAAGUUAACACAUAACGACAAUUUAAAGAAAAGACUUCAGAGAAGGUAUAGAACAUAACAAACAUAUGUAAAAGUUAACACAAAACAACAAUUUAAAGAAAAGACUUAGGCAAACAAAAAAAGAAAACAGGGUACUUAGCUUGUACGCUUGUAUCCCUGACUUGAAUCCAUUCAUUGGUUUCUGACCUCUUUUGGGAGGUUGUUAACCUUCUAGGGCAACUGGCCUUGUGGGUAAUAGGCUCAGUGGUUCAGGAAUGGGAGCUUGUGAUUCUGAGACCAAGUGAGGUCUCAGAUCUGAACUUUCUUGGCGGUUAGUGGUGUUUGAGGGCUGUGGGUGGCAUGGUUGGGGAGGGUAAUGGACAGGGAUUGUCUGGGGUCAGUUUGACCAGAAUCCAGUGGGGUUUGGGUUUUAGGAUUAAACUUCAAAUCAAUAUUCGAGGCGAUAGAGAGUUGUUUGAAAGGAAUGGAUUGCAGGACAGGGAAGGGGAGGUCUAGAUGGUCCUAUGGUGUAAAUUAGGGAUGGUUUGAGAUUGGGUCGCCGGAGACGGUGGUUCCGGCGAACCUAGUUUUGAAUAUUCGAGCAGAUCUGUGUUCGUUCGAAAGAAACCAACUACAGGAAGGGGAAGAGAGGGUCAUGGUGGUCCGAUGGUGAAAAUAUUGGGUGGUUUGGUGACCGGCUGCCGCCGUGAGGUGAUUUCUGGCGGCGGUGUUAGGGUGGCUGAUGGUUGGUCAAAGGCGGUCAACGGGCGGUCAAGGGUGGUCAUAAGGAGGUCAAGGGGAGGGGAUACACCGGAGUGUAUGUAUCAG
RNAcentral lists this long non-coding RNA (2255 nucleotides) under Nicotiana benthamiana. RNAcentral's name for it is "long non-coding RNA (NBEN_LNC027210)". Lineage: Eukaryota; Viridiplantae; Streptophyta; Magnoliopsida; Solanales; Solanaceae. The record is from RNAcentral.